This 71-nucleotide transfer RNA is filed under the name Marmota monax (woodchuck). Its description in RNAcentral is "tRNA.Ala". The record is from RNAcentral. Lineage: Eukaryota; Metazoa; Chordata; Mammalia; Rodentia; Sciuridae.
GGGGUUUUGGCUCAGUGGUAGAGCACUUGCCUAGCACGUGUGAGGCACUGGGUUUGAUCCUCAAUACCACA